GCUGAAGAACGUAGUGAAAUGCGAUAAGUAGUGUGAAUUGCAGAAUUUAGUGAAUCAUCGAAUCUUUGAACGCACAUUGCGCCCUUUGGUAUUCCUUAGGGCAUGCCUGUUCGAGCGUCAUCUACACCCUCAAGCACAGCUUGGUGAUGGGCGCCUGUCCCGCCCCCCACGGGGGCGCGGACUCGCCUCAAAUGCAUUGGCGGCCGGCGACCUGGCUUCUAGCGCAGCAGAAACGCGUACUCGGGGACCGGGCGCCCGCUCCCAGAAGCCAACCCACCCAGUUUGACCUCGGAUCAGGUAGGGAUACCCGCUGAACUUAAGCAUAUCAAUAAGCGGAGGA
This 340-nucleotide unclassified non-coding RNA is filed under the name soil metagenome. Its description in RNAcentral is "partial contains 5.8S ribosomal RNA, internal transcribed spacer 2, and large subunit ribosomal RNA". The stretch from base 3 to 120 matches the Rfam family "5.8S ribosomal RNA", at positions 37 to 154 of the family's 154-position model. The record is from RNAcentral.